AGAACAUGUUUACUCCGGAGAAUGUAUUUGGACUGGCCAGGGUCAUCAACGUCAUUAUGCUUGCUACUGUGUCUACAAUUGUUGAAAGCCUACUAUUUGCUACAAUUUGCACCGUACUUUGUAAUGAAAUAAAGGCCAACAAUUCACUAGAAUUGCAUAUGUGCCGCCAAUAGUUGUUGUUCCUGUGUCAGUCACUUGCCAAUAACGUACGGUCAUGUCUGUGUUAUCAUUGAAACAUCACUGCUCAGUGAUUAUUUAAUCAGUAUUCAUGUGUUUCUGUUACCAUCUGUCUUGUAUUCAUUUAAAUAUAAAUGGACUACCUCUGUCGAAGUAUGAGGGCCAUUCUGGGAUUUCAAAUUGUUAUGAGUACAUGUGAUUAUUGGACUCUGAUAAACACCAAAAAAAUCUGCUAAAGAAUUGGAU
Molecule: long non-coding RNA, 423 nt
Filed under: Coffea arabica (coffee)
Lineage: Eukaryota; Viridiplantae; Streptophyta; Magnoliopsida; Gentianales; Rubiaceae
Description: long non-coding RNA (CARA_LNC004311)
Source: RNAcentral